CUGUGAAAAGUUGACCUAAACACAUAUAUAAAUAUAAUUCCCACAAAAGUCUCGAAAAGGGGCAGAAAUUUGGAGAUAAAAAAAGGGCAGAUUGAAGGAUGGAAAGAGGUAGAAGUCGCCCAGCUGCUGGGAUUAUAUUGGUCGGUUGCAAGAGUUGAUUUUUAAGAGAUAAUUCCCACAGAAUUCAGCAGAUUGGAGGCUAGGAAUUAAAUGCCAACAACGGCGGCUCAAUUGGAGUAAUUGAGGAAUGGAACCAGCUGCUGGGAGGUGAAACCAAAACCAGUAAUUGGAUUUGCAACAUACACGUGACUGUAGAUGAAGAUUAAGUGGGAAUCAUUCAUGUUUGGUCGAUUUUUGGUGAUAUUUUUCCACUUUAUUUUUUUAAUUUUAACAUUAUGUUCGGCUAGAUUAUUUUGUACUAGGAUUUGCAAUGAACCUUAUAUUAUGAACCUUUAAUCUUGAGUUUUAUUUAUUUUGACGUUAAAACACGUUUUUAAUUAUUAAAUGAUUG
This 511-nucleotide long non-coding RNA is filed under the name Olea europaea (common olive). Its description in RNAcentral is "long non-coding RNA (OEUR_LNC014702)". The record is from RNAcentral. Lineage: Eukaryota; Viridiplantae; Streptophyta; Magnoliopsida; Lamiales; Oleaceae.